UGGGGAAUCUUGCGCAAUGGGCGAAAGCCUGACGCAGCGACGCCGCGUGUGGGAUGAAGGUCUUCGGAUUGUAAACCACUGUCGGGAGGGACGAAGCUCUGACGGUACCUCCAAAGGAAGCACCGGCUAACUCUGUGCCAGCAGCCGCGGUAAUACAGAGGGUGCGAGCGUUGUCCGGAAUCACUGGGCGUAAAGGGCGCGUAGGCGGCCUGGUAAGUAGGGGGUGAAAUCUCAUGGCUCAACUGUGAGGCUGCCUUCUAGACUGCUGGGCUUGAGCACGGUAGAGGCUGGUGGAAUUCCCGGUGUAGCGGUGGAAUGCGUAGAGAUCGGGAGGAACAUCGGUGGCGAAGGCGGCCAGCUGGGCCGUUGCUGACGCUGAGGCGCGAAAGCGUGGGGAGCAAACAGGAUUAGAUACCCACGUAGUCCCUGAGCGGGCUGGCAAGGCGCAU
This 449-nucleotide ribosomal RNA is filed under the name uncultured bacterium. Its description in RNAcentral is "bacterial SSU rRNA". It matches the Rfam family "Bacterial small subunit ribosomal RNA", at positions 355 to 825 of the family's 1533-position model. The record is from RNAcentral.